GACGAACGCUGGCGGCGUGCUUAACACAUGCAAGUCGAACGAAGAGCGAUGGAAGCUUGCUUCUAUCAAUCUUAGUGGCGAACGGGUGAGUAACGCGUAAUCAACCUGCCCUUCAGAGGGGGACAACAGUUGGAAACGACUGCUAAUACCGCAUACGAUCUAAUCUCGGCAUCGAGGAUAGAUGAAAGGUGGCCUCUACAUGUAAGCUAUCACUGAAGGAGGGGAUUGCGCCUGAUUAGCUAGUUGGAGGGGUAACGGCCCACCAAGGCGAUGAUCAGUAGCCGGUCUGAGAGGAUGAACGGCCACAUUGGGACUGAGACACGGCCCAGACUCCUACGGGAGGCAGCAGUGGGGAAUCUUCCGCAAUGGACGAAAGUCUGACGGAGCAACGCCGCGUGAGUGAUGACGGCCUUCGGGUUGUAAAGCUCUGUUAAUCGGGACGAAAGGCCUUCUUGCGAAUAGUGAGAAGGAUUGACGGUACCGGAAGAGAAAGCCACGGCUAACUACGUG
Molecule: ribosomal RNA, 510 nt
Filed under: uncultured bacterium
Lineage: Bacteria
Description: partial 16S ribosomal RNA
Rfam family: Bacterial small subunit ribosomal RNA
Source: RNAcentral